GAGUUUGAUCGUGGCUCAGAUUGAACGCUGGCGGCAUGCCUUACACAUGCAAGUCGAACGGCAGCAUGAUCUAGCUUGCUAGAUUGAUGGCGGGUGGCGAACGGGUGAGUAAUACAUCGGGAACGUGCCCUGUAGUGGGGGAUAACUAGUCGAAAGAUUAGCUAAUACCGCAUACGACCUGAGGGUGAAAGUGGGGGACCGCAAGGCCUCAUGCUAUAGGAGCGGCCGAUGUCUGAUUAGCUAGUUGGUGGGUAAAGGCCCACCAAGGCGACGAUCAGUAGCUGGUCUGAGAGGACGAUCAGCCACACUGGGACUGAGACACGGCCCAGACUCCUACGGAGGCAGCAGUGGGGAAUUUUGGACAAUGGGCGAAAGCCUGAUCCAGCAAUGCCGCGUGUGUGAGAAGGCCU
RNAcentral lists this ribosomal RNA (410 nucleotides) under uncultured microorganism. RNAcentral describes it as "bacterial SSU rRNA". It matches the Rfam family "Bacterial small subunit ribosomal RNA", at positions 9 to 417 of the family's 1533-position model. The record is from RNAcentral.